UACGUAGGUCCCGAGCGUUGUCCGGAUUUAUUGGGCGUAAAGCGAGCGCAGGUGGUUUAUUAAGUCUGGUGUAAAAGGCAGUGGCUCAACCAUUGUAUGCAUUGGAAACUGGUAGACUUGGGUGCAGGAGAGGAGAGUGGAAUUCCAUGUGUAGCGGUGAAAUGCGUAGAUAUUAGGAGGAACACCAGUGGCGAAGGCGGCUUACUGGACUGUAACUGACGUUGAGGCUCGAAAGCGUGGGGAGCAAACAGG
Molecule: ribosomal RNA, 252 nt
Filed under: uncultured bacterium
Lineage: Bacteria
Description: partial 16S ribosomal RNA
Rfam family: Bacterial small subunit ribosomal RNA
Source: RNAcentral